AUUGAACGCUGGCGGCAUGCUUUACACAUGCAAGUCGAACGGUAACAGGCCUUCUGGUGCUGACGAGUGGCGAACGGGUGAGUAAUACAUCUGAACGUGCCCAGAGGUGGGGGAUAACGCAGCGAAAGCUGUGCUCAUACCGCGUGUGAUCUGAGGAUGAAAGCGGGGGACCAGGCAGCAAUGUUUGCCCUCGCGCCUUUGUAGCGGCCGAUGUCUGAUUAGUUAGUUGGUGGGGUAAAGGCCUACCAAUCCGACGAUCUGUAGCUGGUCUGAGAGGACGACCAGCCACACUGGGACUGAGACACGGCCCAGACUCCUACGGGAGGCAGCAGUGGGGAAUUUUGGACAAUGGGCGCAAGCCUGAUCCAGCAAUGCCGCGUGCGGGAAGAAGGCCUUCGGGUUGUAAACCGCUUUUGUACGGAACGAAAAGGAUCUGGCUAAUACCUGGGGCUGAUGACGGUACCGUAAGAAUAAGCACCGGCUAACUACGUG
This 492-nucleotide ribosomal RNA is filed under the name uncultured bacterium. RNAcentral describes it as "partial 16S ribosomal RNA". It matches the Rfam family "Bacterial small subunit ribosomal RNA", at positions 30 to 507 of the family's 1533-position model. The record is from RNAcentral.